Molecule: ribosomal RNA, 196 nt
Filed under: uncultured bacterium
Lineage: Bacteria
Description: partial 16S ribosomal RNA
Rfam family: Bacterial small subunit ribosomal RNA
Source: RNAcentral
ACGCUCGACACCUACGGAGGCAGCAGUGGGGAAUAUUGCACAAUGGGGGAAACCCUGAUGCAGCGACGCCGCGUGGAGGAAGAAGGUCUUCGGAUUGUAAACUCCUGUUGUUGGGGAAAAAGAGGAUGGUACCCAACAAGGAAGUGACGGCUAACUACGUGCCGCAGCCGCGGUAAUCUGAGCGGGCUGGCAAGGC